RNAcentral lists this ribosomal RNA (423 nucleotides) under uncultured bacterium. RNAcentral's name for it is "bacterial SSU rRNA". It matches the Rfam family "Bacterial small subunit ribosomal RNA", at positions 356 to 776 of the family's 1533-position model. The record is from RNAcentral.
GAGGAAUAUUGGACAAUGGAGGGAACUCUGAUCCAGCCAUGCCGCGUGCAGGAAGACUGCCCUAUGGGUUGUAAACUGCUUUUAUACGGGAAGAAACGCCCCCACGUGUGGGGGUCUGACGGUACCGUAAGAAUAAGGACCGGCUAACUCCGUGCCAGCAGCCGCGGUAAUACGGAGGGUCCGAGCGUUAUCCGGAAUCAUUGGGUUUAAAGGGUCCGUAGGCGGGCAGCUAAGUCAGUGGUGAAAGUCUGUGGCUCAACCAUAGAAUUGCCAUUGAAACUGGUUGUCUUGAAUCGUUGUGAAGUGGUUAGAAUGAGCAGUGUAGCGGUGAAAUGCAUAGAUAUUGCUCAGAAUACCGAUUGCGAAGGCAGAUCACUAACAACGUAUUGACGCUGAGGGACGAAAGCGUGGGGAGCGAACAGG